This 457-nucleotide ribosomal RNA is filed under the name uncultured bacterium. Its description in RNAcentral is "bacterial SSU rRNA". It matches the Rfam family "Bacterial small subunit ribosomal RNA", at positions 340 to 786 of the family's 1533-position model. The record is from RNAcentral.
UACGGGAGGCAGCAGUGGGGAAUAUUGCACAAUGGGCGAAAGCCUGAUGCAGCUAUGCCGCGUGUAUGAAGAAGGCCUUAGGGUUGUAAAGUACUUUCAUUGGGGAGGAAAAAACAAAACUAAUAAUUUUAUUUCUUGACGUUACCCGAAAAAGAAGCACCGGCUAACUCCGUGCCAGCAGCCGCGGUAAUACGGAGGGUGCUAGCGUUAAUCAGAAUUACUGGGCGUAAAGAGCACGUAGGUGGUUUUUUUAAAGUCAGAUGUGAAAUCCCUGGGCUUAACCUAGGAACUGCAUUUUGAAACUGAAAUACUAGAGUAUCGUAGAGGGAGGUAGAAUUCUAGGUGUAGCGGUGAAAUGCGUAGAUAUCUGGAGGAAUACCUGUGGCGAAAGCGGCCUCCUAAACGAAUACUGACACUGAGGUGCGAAAGCGUGGGGAGCAAACAGGGAUUAGAUACC